RNAcentral lists this ribosomal RNA (253 nucleotides) under uncultured bacterium. RNAcentral describes it as "partial 16S ribosomal RNA". It matches the Rfam family "Bacterial small subunit ribosomal RNA", at positions 524 to 776 of the family's 1533-position model. The record is from RNAcentral.
UACGAAGGGGGCAAGCGUUGUUCGGAAUUACUGGGCGUAAAGCGCACGUAGGCGGAUUUGUAAGUCAGGGGUGAAAUCCCGGGGCUCAACCUCGGAACUGCCUUUGAUACUGCAAAUCUCGAGUCCGGAAGAGGUGAGUGGAAUUCCUAGUGUAGAGGUGAAAUUCGUAGAUAUUAGGAAGAACACCAGUGGCGAAGGCGGCUCACUGGUCCGGUACUGACGCUGAGGUGCGAAAGCGUGGGGAGCAAACAGG